Molecule: long non-coding RNA, 602 nt
Organism: Myotis davidii
Lineage: Eukaryota; Metazoa; Chordata; Mammalia; Chiroptera; Vespertilionidae
Exons: 4
Source: RefSeq, a predicted model, not a curated record
UCCCCGUUCCCCUCUCCCCGACCCCGCACUCCUUUCCCCAUUCCGGCUCCGUCACCUUCCCGCCCCUCACACUCGGGACGAGAAUGCCCUGCCCGGAACAACCCAGCAGCUCCUAGAUGGCUUUGGUCACGGUCCAGCGAUCGCCUACCCCCAGCACCACCUCCAGCCCCUGCGCCUCGGACUGAAGAAUCAAAAUGAGUGUGGCACCAAAGACUAAACAAAGAGGGAAUUUUCAAGAAGGAAGUUGGAUCAAGUUGUCUUGGAGAGGUCAACAGAGAGCUCUCAGUUGGAAGACAGUGAAUCAGCAGCAUUACUUUGCUGUGAAUGUGAAGAAUCAGAAAUCUUUAGUGAUUCCAAUGAGAUUGAAGAGCUCCUUUCCAAUUUGAAGACUUAAACUUGAAAAAGAAAUUAUUUGUAGAGCAAACAAAUUGAAAUCCCCAUUUUGAAUUUUAUUCAAAGGAAGUGGUAUGGCAUCUGGACACCUAUUUGAAAUAGAAGUUAACCUGAUGUAAAGGAGAGUAGAAGAUAAAGUCAAUCUCUGAAGAACUUUCUCUUUAAUCUUGGGAUAACAGAAAUAUGAAAUUUGGUUAGCUAUAUUCACU